RNAcentral lists this ribosomal RNA (596 nucleotides) under Hepatozoon canis. RNAcentral's name for it is "bacterial SSU rRNA". It matches the Rfam family "Eukaryotic small subunit ribosomal RNA", at positions 225 to 810 of the family's 1831-position model. The record is from RNAcentral. Lineage: Eukaryota; Apicomplexa; Hepatozoidae.
UGCAUGCUUUUACAGUAUGGAAAUUGGUGAUUUAUAAUAACUUAGCAAAUCGCAAAGUGAAAACAGGCGAUAAAUCAUUCAAGUUUCUGACCUAUCAGCUUUCGACGGUAUGGUAUUGGCUUACCGUGGCAGUGACGGUUAACGGGGGAUUAGGGUUCGAUUCCGGAGAGGGAGCCUGAGAAACGGCUACCACAUCUAAGGAAGGCAGCAGGCGCGCAAAUUACCCAAUUCUAACAGUUUAAGAGAGGUAGUAACAAGAAAUAACAAUACAAGGCAAUUAAAAUGCUUUGUAAUUGGAAUGAUAGAAAUUUAAACCCUUUUUAAAGUAUCAAUUGGAGGGCAAGUCUGGUGCCAGCAGCCGCGGUAAUUCCAGCUCCAAUAGCGUAUAUUAAAAUUGUUGCAGUUAAAAAGCUCGUAGUUGAAGUUCUGCUAAAAGUAACCGGUCUGCUUUUAAUAAAAGUGGUAUCUUGGUGUGUAUUUAGCAAUGAUGUCCUUUGAAGUGUUUUUUACUUUAUUGUAAUAAAGCAUAUUCAGGACUUUUACUUUGAGAAAAUUAGAGUGUUUCUAGCAGGCCAACGCUUUGAAUACUGCAGCUG